This is an RNA transcript of Serinus canaria (Common canary), 14693 nucleotides long. It is a transcript of the gene named arrestin domain-containing protein 3-like, with no coding region annotated. The record is from RefSeq and is a predicted model, not a curated record. Lineage: Eukaryota; Metazoa; Chordata; Aves; Passeriformes; Fringillidae. The transcript has 10 exons.
GUUUUAUAGUCUAGGGAGCUUCACUACGUCAGAGGGGGGUCUGCAGUACUAUCUAUGGUUAGUAAGGAGUGGAAAGUUACUAGCGUUAGGGGGGCUACAUUCCUGGUUACAUUCCUAGGGUGAUCUCUUAUCUCAGGGGAUUAAGGGAAAAGGAAUCCUGCCGCUUUCCGUCACAUCGCGUGAUCUUCCGUACGCCUGUCCCUAUCUACCACACUCCUCAAAGAGAUCAUACUCAGGUCCAGAGUGCCUAUAGGGAUGUUAUCUGAUAGGGGACCUAAUUUUAUAUCUGAAGUGUUAUAUUGACUUAGUAAACAGUUGGGUAUAAGUACAUACUCCAUGGAGACCACAAUCUAGUGUAAGGGUUGAGCAAAUGAAUCAAACUUUAAAGAGACAAAUUAGCAAAAUUUGUCAGGAAACUUUCUUGAAAUGGUCACAGGUGUUACCAUUAGCUUUGUUAUGAAUUAGAGUGCAGCCCCGAACUAAGCUGAUGGUGAGCCUAUAUAAGUUGAUGCUUGGAAGACCGUAUUCUGUUGCAACUUUCUCUGGAUCUGAAGAAGAAAUUGGGAAUCAGGAAAUAAAAAAAUACUUCAUUUCAUCAGGGAAAUCCUUGAAUGAACUAAAAAGGUUUAUCAUUCUCUCAAAACCUGUUACACUAGAUACCCCAGUUCAUUCAUUUCAGCCUGGGGAUCACAUACACAUCAAGACUGGAAAAUAUGAAGCACUUCAGGAGCGUGGAAAGGAUCUUAUCUAGUUCUGUUGACUACAAGAACAGCAGUGAAAGUGAAAGGAGUUAACUCCUGGAUACAUUGCACCCCAAUUAAGAGGGUUCCCGAUUCAGAGUGGGCAGUGGAAAACACCAGACCCCUGUGGCUGAAUAUUUUGAAGACAUCUGUAAACAAGCAGCAAAAUGUACAGACUAAUUAUCAAUGCAGGGCAACCCCAAAGUAGGGAAUAAUGUGCGCUGACUCCGUGAUUUCAGAAGGCUGAUGUCCUAGGUUGACUAUAUGAUGCUUUUAUCCCCAAUCAUCUGUUCUGUUUAUGCUGAAUAAUAAGUUCUGCACCUUUUAGACUUGUUCCAGAGAGUGAAGGGGGGAGAGAAGAAGCACACAGUUUGUUUUCAGAAAACUGCACUCACUCCUCCACAUUCCUGCUCCUGGACUGUGUUGUCUGCGGAUGGACAGAUGGCGGGACAGAGCUCUUGUUUGCUUUUAGUUAGCUUUAGCUAGCUGAGGCAAAGAAGUUCCCUGGACCGUGGUUUUUUUUCCUUUUUUCCCUUUUCUGUGGACCUGUUUAAACCUGCUCUGGACUGAACACCCAGCAGAGCACUGGCACCUCGCAUCUGUGGCCCGCCGGGCUGGGCCUGGGCCAUGGAAUUUCCAGCGCUGGAGGGACUGAUAAGAGACUGAGUGAGCUGAACUGAGAUCUGGAAAGGGGACUUUCUAGGUUUGUCAUCUCUUUUGGAGCAGCAAGGGGUUUUAUUGUUUAAUAUUUUUUUUUUACGUUUUCUUGUUUAAUAAACAGGUUUUUUCCACUUUUCUCCAAGGAGGUAUUUUCUCCCAUACUGGUUAGGGAGAGAGGCUGAUUGUAUCUGUUUUCCUAGAGGAGCCCUUUGGGAGUUCUCUCCCAAAUUUGCCCUGAACCAGGACAGCUGAACAAUUGCUUUAUUAAGCUACAUUAUGUUACACUAUAUUACUAUACUAAAACUAUACUAAAAAGAUACUAAAGAAAAACCUGCGACUGUCUCAGACAGUCACGGCACAGCUUUGACUCAACUGGCCAAUCAAUCCAAACAACCAUCACCAGAGUCCAAUUAACAAAUCCCUUUCAGUAAGCAAUCUCCAUAACACAUUCCACAUGUGCCAAACAACAGGCGCAGCGAACAGAGAUAAGAAUUGUUUUCUCUUCUCUCUCUGAGCUUUCUCACUGCCUUCCCCAGGAAAAAUCCUGGGAGAGAGAAUUAUGUCUCUCUCUGUUCAGAGAAUGUGAAUGCCACAUCUCACUCUUUUUACUAUAAUAAAAAAUGAAAGGAACUGUGUUUGCAAUUCUUGUGCUGGGCGCUUGCAGAAGAGAGAAAAAACACAGCCAGAGAAGUUCCCUUAAUAAUUUGCUGGUUGUCAAGCAGAACCUCAAUCAGAUGCUGACUGUCCUAGGGUGACGUUAUGAUGCUUGUAUCCCAAAUUGUCUGUUCUGUUUACAAGGUGGGGAGAAGAAGGAGUGUGGCAUUCACAUUCUCUAAAAAAAUCUCUUUGCCCAGGAUUUUUCUCCUGGGAAGCUGAGAAGCCUCAGAGAAAAAGGAAAACAAUUCUUUAUCUCAUUUGCUUGUCCUGUGUUGUGCUCAUGUGGAAUGUGUUUGGAGAUUGUUUACCACAGGUGAUUGUUCCAUUGCAUUCUGCUGGGAGUUGUUUUCACUCAUUGGCCAAUUAGGGCCAAGAUGUGUUGGGGCUCUGGAAAGAGUCACGAGUUUUCAUUAUUAUCUUUUUAGCAUUCAGUAAGUAUCCGUUCUGUAUUCUUUAGUAUAGUAUAGUAUUCUUUAAUAUAAUAUAGUAUAGUAUAAUAAAGUAAUAAAUUAGCCUUCUGAGAACAUGGAGUCAGAUGCAUCAUUCCUGCCUUCGUCAGGGCUUCCUGCAAAUACAAUAAAGGAGCACGGAGUUUCGUUAUCAGCUGACUCUCCCCCACAGUCUGCUGGAACACAGAACUCCACUGUUGUUGUCAGGGCACAGAUGGGGCAGAACAGAGUGCUCCUUUUGCUUUUUAGUUAGUUUAGCUAGCUGAUGCAGUCUGAGUUUUCCCUGGACUGUUUUUCGUUCCCUUUUCUUGGAACCGUUAAAACCUGCUCCAGACCAGGACCCAGGGAAACACCGAGAGCCUGCACUUUGUAGCCUGUCGGGCCUACUCUGGGCAGCGGCCUUUUCCCAGUGCCGGAGGGACUGAUAACAGAGUGACCACUCCCAGGAGAGACUUUCUGAAUUUGUCAUCUCUUCAGAGCGACGAAUGAGUUAUGUCAUCCGGUAUUGUUCAUUUUGUGUGCUGGGGAGUGCUUUGCCUGUUAAAUAAACAGGGUUUCUUCCACUUGUCUCUGAGGAAACUCUUCCCAAACCAGUGGGGGGAUGGGCCGUGUAGGUUUGCUUUCUAGAGGGGCCCCUUUUAGAGGUUUUCUCCCAAAUUUGCCCUAAACCAAAGCACUGAAGUAGAAUGAUCAGGGAGAUUCUUUACCUGUAGAAUAUCAACUUCUAUAAAAUCACUAAAACAAGGUUUACAAUAGAAGAAACCAAACAGCAAUGCAAAGAGUAAUCAUUGUUUCAAGUCCAAACAGCUGAGUUUUAGGAGAAGGUUCAUUGACUGGAGAUGUUGAUCUUUGACAUCCCUGAAUUUCCUUCUUGGUCCUGAAACAGAGAACUGCUGAAUCCUGAAACAGAGAACAUCUGAAGAAAGUCACCAACAACUAUUAGAAAUCCAUCAGAUGACAUUAUAUAAUUAUCAGGUGUUAUGAACAAAAAAAUGUUACCGUUUUUUUUAAGAGAAGGAGCAGCAGAGGAGUUUUUGAGAUGAUCUGAGAGUUGAUCGUUGGCCAGGAGUUCUUUGUUAGUGAAAUGCUGUAAUCGCCAGUUGAGUAUCCUUAAGUAUCGCCAUUUGACUCUCCAUUGUGGAGGAUUCUUGUUUUUCAGCACCACCCUAGCCUGUUGCCAGGAGGAUGACAACCCCCCCCUCGGACGGUGGGGAGAGGGGGAUAUUUGCAUCUCAGGAGAUAUGCAAAUUUAUCUCCAAACCCAGACUGCAUUGGGACAGGACCUUUACCAAAUCCUGGAAAAUACCCCAAAAGAGGUGAGCCAAAGCAGAAUUGAGAGGUCAGGGUGGUGUAUGGACAGCAGGGCCGAGGUCCGAAGCUGGCAGAGACACUGAGAACCUCGGUCACUCCUCGCCCCAACUACAAACGAUGCCAGUCAGACCCAGGACCCACUGAACUGACAACUCAAAAGGAGAAAACCCUGGGUAUACCCCACUGCCUUGCGAGGACAGGACUCCCGGCCCUGCCCCCUUGGGGACAGAGCUGCAAAUCCUCCUCUUCUGAUUCACUGCUGGGAGCGGUGGCAGAACUCCACGGAUCUGCCAAAACCCCCUUUUUUGAGCUGAUCACUUUAAUAAAGGCGUUAAAAGAAGAAAUAUCUCCCGCCCCGUUUAUUUCAUCAGGCACUAUUGAGAAAAUCUGUGGAAUGCCAUGGCCACAGCCUUUAAUUCAACCACUUGAGCCGAGGCUGGCUCGUGGCUUUCCAGUACUUUGAGCUGGCAGUGAAAACGGCAGCUUUUUCCACAUUUUUUUUUUUUUUUUCAGAAAUUAGCAGUGGCAGUCGGUCUUAGGACCCAGUGGCAGUGGGCGGGGCAGUGGCCCCGGACCCAGUGGGCAGGCCAAGGCAACCAAACACGGCCGAUGGGGCGGGGUCUUUUUUCUCACUGCCCGCCCUCACCAUGCUGCCAGUGUCUUGGCAACUCCUCCAGCAUUUCACCCUUCCCCCACCCCCCUUGUCAAAAUGGGAGGAAGGAUUGCAGGAGUGGCUAACCGCCUCCUCCUCUCCUCACUCUCUCCAGGACCACUGGUCCGUGUCGGCAAAUGGGAAGGAGAGGUUUUCCCAAGAAUAUGAAAUUCCAUCCUGGAUUCGGGGUUCUUGGCACCACCCACGCCUGCCUAGGACAAGUGGGUGAUCCGCGCUACCCCCUGUACCUCUCUCCCCCGCGAUACAAGUGAUUGUUGCCCAGCUCUCUGAUUCGCGGCGCCACUCCCAUUCCCCCUGGGCAUGAGACCAGCAGCGGCAUUCUCGGAGACUGCCCCUCCCUCCCCGCAGACACGAGCGAGAGGGGUGAGGUGUCCCGAGCCCCUGUGGGAACCCCAUGGAGCAAGGGCACCCCCCGACCAACAGAGUUGGUCCCAGAAAAAUGUUCCCCAAAAAGCCACUGAGUGUCAGAGUUCUCAGCCUGGAGGCACGAGCUAACAGCUGCCAAGCUGUAGCAGCCACAGGGCCUGCAAGGUCUCCAUAGCAGUCACUUGCCUAAGAUAAGAAAUGCCUAGUCAUGAUGACUGGACCAAGAAGCCCCUCUUCCUCCUUCGGACCCUUCUUAUCUCUCUGUAAAACCAUAGAUCAUAUUCGCCUCGACCCUUAUAUUGGACUGUUUCCCAAAACCCCUAUACCCUAUAUAAACCCCUAUUUCUGUGCUGUACAGCAGAAGAGCUGUCACUGUGACCCUUCACAGAAGCUGCCAAUAAAGACACCUCUGUAGAACCUCAUACAGCCUUCUCCUCCCUCUCCCUGCAUCUGCUGAGGCACUUAGCAAGCAAAGAGCAGAAAUCACUAAAGAGUUGAAUUCACCCAAGAGCUGAUCUCACUUAAGAGCUGAGCUGCUUGCUAAGAUUGCCUGUGACUGGGACCCUGCCUGAGGGACCUGGACGGGUUGUGCUUAGCAGGACUUUGCUAUCCGGACACCUAUGGCAGCCGGGGUCAGAGAGACUCCAAAUACCUCCAGCUGUAAUAAAUUGGCACCCCAAACUGGGCUGCUGGCAUCCUAGCACUCCAGAGAGCGGCACUCUUCUUGAAUCAUCAAUGCCUCGGUUCGCUACGACCUCCUGAAGAUAAGUUCUCCCUUAUAGAAGAAGUUAUCUGAACAGGCAUCCAACGACCUUCCACAUCAACAUCUGGGAUGAGAUCCUGAGGAGUUGGACAAAGCAGACCACCCACCAGCAGUUUUUGACCCACAUUCAGCUGAAGAAGUCUAAGUUUUAAAACAGCCUUUCUUGCACGCUUUUACCUUGGGUCCUUUUUGGGUUUUUUUCCUUUUUUUUUUCCUAUUUCUACUGCCGGAGGAGAAAAGGGAAUUAUACCAGAAUGGGAUCAAAACCUAGUAAAUUAAAAUGAUACCGGUAUGAGAGAGACUUAUAUUUACAAAUCCUAGAAAUCCUAUCCGCUAGCACCUUUUCUUUAUCUAAAGGCAAUCUCUCAAAAACUAACUUGAAAAAAUGUAUAAAAUGGAUUAUUUCCCAGUUUCCAGAUAUUAACACAAACGCUAUCGCUCUAGAUUCUUUUUGGGACAGAGUAGGGACAAGAAUAUAUUCUCUCCAAACUAAUGAAGAUUUUUCUGUAACUCGGUUAUUACCUCUUUUUCAUUCUAUUACCAAAGUAGUUGAAAAAACGAAUAUAAAGAGCUCAAUUUCUUUGCAACCUUCCCCUGCUGAGGGCAUUCCUAGCUUAUCUCUCCCACCAGAGACUCUCUCUUCAAAUGCUAAUAACACAGACAACAUUCCUCUUCUCUCAGUCUCUGAAUGCUAUCCUCCGCUUUCUCUGGGUCCAAAUGCUACCUCUGGGGCCGCUCCACCCUCGGGCCCCCUUCCUGGGACGGGGAACACGGAAUUCGCCGACAGAAUCGUUGCGAUCUUUACUGUUAGCCAGGCAACCCCCGGCUGAGGGGGAGAACCCGUGGCGUCUGCUGCCAGAAUCCAGGGCCUGGUGCCCACCGACUGCUGCCCGAUUUCAGCUGCCAGCUUCUUCCGAGCCACCUCCCAAACAGCAAGCCAGGAUCUCCAGGCCGUGACAGGCGAUGAGAUUGAGAUGAGAUGAGAUUGAGAUGACCCUCCGGACAAGGAGCGCUCGCGUCCCCUCCCCCCGCUGUUUUUCUCUCAGUUCUUCAGUACGUAUUUCAAUAUCUUACUGCGAACUCGUAGCAGAGCCCUGACUCCACCAGGGAGCGCUCUGACUCUCUGCAUGUAAUGGAAGCGAUAACAAGAAAAACGAACACGGCAGGAAAGACAGGCAAGGGGUGGAGGAAAACGCCGCUACGACUCGCUUCGCGCAUGCGCGGGGGUGGUUGUUUUUCACAAAGCUGUUCUUAAAGUGAGCUGGCAGCGCGCGGGCCAACUGCCUCCGUACGGAUAUCGCAGUGUUGGGCGGCUGCCGUUGUCUUCUCAGCAAUUCCGAUGAAGCGUUCGUAGGGGACACGCUGAUCUUGUUGGCAGGCUCUACGCAGCAGAGGCGUUGUUCAAUGUAAAGUUAAGGUCGCGUUUUGUAUGAGACCCUGGCUUUUUUUUGUUUUCCUUGCAGCAUAUUUUUAUACACUUCGUUAAAAAUCAUGGUGCUAGGGAAGGUGAAGAGUUUGACAAUAAGCUUUGACUGUCUCAGUAACAGCAAUAUCCCCGUGUAUUCUAGCGGGGACACAGUCUCAGGAAGGAUCAGUUUAGAAGUUACUGGGGAAAUUAGAGUGAAAGCUCUUAAAAUUCAUGCAAAAGGACAUGCAAAAGUACGUUGGAGCGAAUCUAGAAAUGCUGGAUCCAACACUGCCUAUACACAAAAUUACACCGAAGAAGUAGAGUAUUUUAACUAUAAGGACGUUCUAGUCGGGCAUGCAAGAGAUGAUGACAAUUCAGAAGAAGGCCUUCACAUCAUUCAUUCAGGAAGGCAUGAAUAUGCAUUCAGCUUUGAGCUUCCACAGAUACCACUUGCUACCUCAUUCGAAGGCAGACACGGCAGUGUGCGGUAUUGGGUGAAAGCUGAAUUGCAUAGGCCUUGGCUUCUACCAGUAAAAUUAAAGAAGGAAUUUACAGUCUUUGAACAUAUAGAUAUCAACACUCCUUCGUUACUGUCACCCCAAGCAGGCACAAAAGAAAAGACUCUAUGUUGUUGGCUUUGUACCUCAGGCCCAAUAUCUUUAAGUGCCAAAAUCGAAAGAAAGGGCUACACCCCAGGUGAAUCAAUUCAGAUCUUUGCUGAGAUUGAGAAUUGCUCUUCCCGUAUGGUAGUGCCAAAGGCAACCAUUUACCAAACGCAGGCAUUCUAUGCCAAAGGGAAAAUGAAGGAAGUCAGACAGCUUGUUGCCAACCUCCGUGGGGAAUCCUUGUCAUCUGGCAAAACAGAAACCUGGAAUGGCAAACAGUUGAAAAUUCCACCUGUUUCCCCUUCAAUCCUUGACUGUAGUAUAAUCCGUGUGGAGUAUUCACUGAUGGUAUAUGUUGAUAUUCCAGGAGCUGUGGAUUUGUUCCUUAACUUACCACUUGUCAUUGGUACCAUUCCUCUACAUCCAUUUGGUAGCAGAACAUCAAGCGUAAGCAGCCAGGGUAGCAUGAACAUGAACUGGCUUGGUCUGACUCUGCCUGAAAGACUAGAAGCACCUCCUAACUAUGCAGAAGUGGUCACAGAGGAAAACAGACAGUCUGGCCUUGCACCUGUAGCUGCUUUUGAUGAUUUUCAGAGAGCACUGCAAGGACCAUUAUUUGCAUACAUCCAGGAGUUUCGUUUUCUGCCUCCUCCCCUAUAUUCGGAAAUUGAUCCAAACCCAGAUCAGCCCACAGAUGAGAUACCGUCUUGCCCCUCUCGUUGAAGGAAUCCAUAAAAAGCUGACUUGACUUGGGUUUUGAAUCACACCUUCUGUGUUGAAGAUCAAGGUGUCAUAGUGGAGACUUGCUUUUAAAGGAAAUGGGCCAGUUCUCUUCAACAUCUUCAUAAACGCCUUGGAUGCAGGACUUGAAGGUGUACUAAAUUUGCUGACGAUAAUAAAAUGGGAGGAGCUGUUGACUUCCUCAAAGGCAGAGAGGCCCUGCAGAGAGACCUUGACAAAUGAGAGGGCUGGGCAAUCACCAACCAUAUGAAGUUCAACAAAGGCAAGUGCCAGAUUCUGCAUCUGGGAUGGGGCAACCCUGGAUGUAUGGGCAGACUGGGGAACAAGAGACUGGAGAGCAGCCCUGUAGAAAGGGACCUGGGGGUCCUGGUCAAUGCCAAGUUGAAUAUGACUCAGCAGUGUGCCCUGGCAGCCAGGAGGGCCAACUGUGUCCUGGGGUGCAUCAGGCACAGCAUCGCCAACCAAUUAAGGGAGGUGCUUGUCCUGCUCUGCUCUGCACUGGUGUGGUCUCACCUUGAGUCCUGGGGGCAGUUUUGGGUGCCACAGUAUAAGAAGGAUAUAAAUCUAUUAGAGAGCAUCCAAAGGAGGGCUACAAAGAUAGUGAAAGGUCUAGAGAGGAAGCUGUAUGAGGAGUGGCUGAGGUCACUUGGUUUGUUCAGCCUGGAGAAGAGACUGAAGGGAGGCCUCAUUGCAGUCUACAGCUUCCUCAUGAGGGCAAGUGGAGGGGCAGGCACUGAUACUGAUCUCUUCUCUCUGGUGACCAGUAAUAGGACCUGAGGGAAUGGCCUGAAGUAUCGGGGGAAGUUUAGGUUGGAUAUUAGGAAAAGGUUCUUCACCCAGAGGGUGGUUGGGCACUGAAACGGGCUUCCCAGAGAAGUGGUCACAGCACCAAGCCUGACAGAUUUCAAGAAGUGUUUGGAUGAUGCUCUCAGGCACAGGGUGGGAUUCUUGGGACUGUCCUGUGCAGGGCCAGGAGUUGGACUUUGAUGAUCCUUGUGAGUCCCUUCCAACUCAAGAUAUUCUAUGAUUCUAAGAAGCAAACAAAAAAUCCAACGGCUUUAAUCAUACAUUCAUCUAGAAUGCAAAAACUUAUAUAGAAAAAGCACUGACUCCUUGAACAUAUUCUAAAGAAGAAAUGAAUGAUGGAGCUAUUAGAUCUGUUCAGUGUUUUUAUGCUAGAGAUUUGUAAAUGUAAGUUUUCUUUUCAGAAAUCAUGUAAAAAAAAAAUAGAACCAACCACCAACAACAAAAAACCCCACCCAAAGCAAAACACCAACAACAAAAACUAUUGUCUCAGACAUGUCUGAUGUUGAUUAUUUAAAAACUAAUUCAUCAUGUGGAUCCUUGUGCAAUGAAACAGCUCAGAAGGGAGGAGAGGGGAGGGAAAGCUGAUGUUUCUGUAUUGUGCUCAUUCUUACAAAGUUAUGCCUUAUUUUUAAGGCUUCAUAAAUAUAAUAAAAUAGGCUUUUCCAAAAGUGGCCUUUAUGAGAACAUGAAAGAUAUUUUAUGUUCCAAAAAUUAUGACAGGGUGAUUAAAUGAGAGUCACAUCUUAAGUGAUUCAGUUCAAAUGUUUGGACUUUGAUAAGCAAGAAUUGGAAAUUGGGUGAUGUAUUAAGCUGCCAUUUUUGUGACUGUCCUUUCCUUCAAUCCUUUCUAACCAGACAAAAUUUUACAAGUUAAAAUUGUUGGCAUAAAAGGGCAUUUGAUGAUUUUUUUUUUUCUUUUUUGUUAACAGACUAGGGAACAAUUAUUGAUAUAUGUAGCAUUGAAGCACUUAUCCCAGUAUAUUGGAAAAACUAUAUAUGAAGCAAAAUUGACCAAUGUCAUAAUUUAUGUUGCAUCACAGGCUGUGAUCAGAGUGAAAAAUUCUAAAACCUUAUCAAAUAAAGAUUUCCCACUUAAACUUUUUAUUUGUUGUUCAGAGGCAUUAUAGGUUCGUAGUUGUAGCCCAAUAUUUGAUACAGAAUCUUGAUCUGAAUUAAGAAAAAGUAAAAUCCAAGCAUUAGAGAAACAAAGUGCACUAUUAAUUGUUUGCUUUAGAGAUUCUAUUCUGUGGCUGGGUUUUGGUUGGGGUUUUCUGUUUGGUUGUUUUUGGUUGUGUUUCUUUUUUAAAUUAACUUUUGGUGCUGAAUAUGUCCUUAUGGACUUUGUUUUGGGAGAACUAUGUGGAAAACAAUUAAAUUUUUUCUGUUGUUCUUCCUUGUGAAAAAGAAACUUUAAAAUUUUGUUUAAAUGCUUUAAUUGUAAUCUGUAAGUUUGUUUGUGAUUUAAACAUUGAAUAUAUGUCUUUGUGUAAGAUAACAGCCAUAGGGAUCAAAUUGCUAUCAGAAAUGCAUAUGCUAUGUAUCAACUACAUUGGGAAAAAAUAUUUCUGGAGCUACACCACUGAUUAGUACAAGAGCUGAGUUUCAGCACCUUCAGUUCCUUUACCUUGUUUAUAUCAAUGGUUUCUUAGGGCUAGGUUUCAGCUGGGAAGCUCUAAUACAAUCUCCUAAACUUAGAAAAUACCAAUAACUUACAGGAUAUUAAUGUUUUUUUCAGGACACUGCUUAAAAAUUACUGUAACUUGUGACCUCUGAUCAAGUUGUUUAGUGUUUUCCAGUACAUAUGGUGGGGGCAGGGGCUGCACAUAUUUGUAGGGGUGGGAGGAAACUGGGGAAGUGGAAUUACUUUAAAAGCCAGAUAACUCAGUGAUUUGCAAUUGGGAUCUGAAGGUUGGUUUGUUGAACUGGGGUCAACAAGGUAUGUCUUGCUGUUUACUUAGACAUCUAAUGUUACCAGAUGUUGAAAAUCACUAUCUGUGAUUUGUGUUUUGGUCAGUAGAGCUUUGCAAGAUAUUAAAACAGCUCCUCAACAUUCCAGAAAUGAAGCACUGCCAUAGCAUCUUGUUUCUGUAUACUGCACACAGCUGAACCUCUGAAAGAACGGAAUAUCAUCAUUGCUUGGUAUCAAAGUGUCUUUUGACCUAAGGCAAGGUUCACUAGGCUAGCAGCUGGGACUCAGGAGUCCAGUAAAUGCUGUUCCUGACUGUUGGUGUUGAAGGUACCAAAGACUGCUAAAUUAUCAUGGUAUUGUUACAGGAGGUUUUAUGGUAUAUGCUACUAACAUAGACAACCCAAACAUUGGAUCUAACUCCUUGUAUAAUGCAAACAGUAGACUUCCUAAAUGCAUGAAUUAUUAUAUCAAAUAAAGCAUGUUUAUUUAAUUUUGAAUUUGCAAUUGCCAAGUAGGGAGAAUCCAGAAAGAUCUUUUUGGUGCCCAAUGUGAGGCUCGAGGGCACAUAAACAAAAAGGGAAUAACAGUUCUUGAGUAAUCUAAUUUUUUCUGUGUGGCUAUAGAAACCUCGUUAGGCGACACCAUGUGGUCCAGCUUGCCCUGGUUUGGGUGACACGUGAUCGUGGCUGUAUUUCUCCCUUUUGCAGGCCCUUAUCUGAACAUGGGUCCUAUAACCAAGGCUACUGUGGCUGUUAUCCGGUUUGCUUUAUGGGCGAAUAAGUAGGUCUCCUGAAGGUGAAAGAGCAACGAGUGCCAAUUGCCACCUCGACUGUGCACCGCUGACAGUACCGGAAAAAUCGAGAUGCCGUAAACCCAAACAACAAAAUGAUCCGUGAGUUGGAGAGACAAGGGGUGGUCAGCGAAACCCAUUCACCCUUUAACAGUCCCAUCUGACCUGUGUGCAAGUCUGACAGAAAAUGGAGAUUGACUGUGGACCAUCAUGGCUUGAAUGAAGUGACUCCACCACUGAGCGCUGCCGUGCCGGACAUGCUGGAACUCCAGUACGAGGUAGAGUCCAAGGCAGCGAACUGGUACACCACUAUUGACAUUGCCAAUGCAUUUUUCUCCAUUCCUCUGGCAGCAGAAUGCAGGCCUCAGUUUGCUUUCACCUGGAGGGGAGUGCAGUAUACCUGGAAUCGAUUGCCCCAGGGGUGGAAGCACAGUCCCACCAUCUGCCAUGGACUGAUCCAGGCUGCACUAUAAAAGGGUGAGGCUCCAGAACAUCUGCAGUACAUUGAUAACAUCAUUGUGUGGGGGAACACGGCAGUGGAAGUAUUUGAGAAAGGAAAGAAAGUCAGCCAGAUUCUUCUAGAAGCCAGUUGCACCAUCAAAAAGAGCAAAGUCAAGGGACCCGCCCGAGAGAUUCAGCUCCUGGGAGUAAAGUGGAAAGAUGGACGGCGUCAGAUCCCCAUUGAGGUCAUCAACAAGAUCACCACAAUGUCUCCACCAACUAGCAAGAAGGAAACGCAAGCUUUCCUAGGUGCCAUAGGUUUUUGGAGAAUGCACAUUCCUGAGUACAGUCAGAUCAAGAGCCCUCUUUACCUGGUCACCUGCAAGAAGAAUGAGUUCCACUGGGGCCCUGAGCAGCAACAAGCCUUUGCCCAGAUCAAGCAGGAGAUCACUCAUGCAGUUGCCCUUGGCCCACUCAGGAUGGGAUCAGAGGUGAAGAACAUGCUCUACUCUGCAGCCAGGAACCAUGGCUUGUCCUGGACCCUUUGGCAGAAGGUCCCUGGGGAGACUCGGGGUCAGCCGCUAGGAUUUUGGAGUCGAAGCUGCAGAGGGUCCAAAGCCAACUCUACUCCAACCGAGAAAGAAAUCUUGGCUGCCUAUGAAGGAGUCCAAGCUGCCUCAGAGGUGAUUGGCACGGAAGCACAACUCCUCCUGGCACCCCGACUGCCGGUGCUGGGGUGGAUGUUCAAAGGAAAGGCUCCCACCACCCACCCUGCCACUGAUGCUAUUUGGAGUAAAUGGAUUGCUGUAAUCACACAGCAUGUCCGUAUUGGAAACCUGAAUCACCCUGGGAUUUUGGGGACAAUUACAAACUGGCCGGAAGGUGAAGACUUUGGUCUCGCUGAUGAAGAGGAACAAGAGCAAGUGACACGUGCUGAAGAAGUGCCACCAAACAACCAUCUACCAGCAGAGGAAACACGCUACGCUCUUUUCAUGGACAGUUCCUGUUGCAUUGUAGGGAUGAACCGGAAGUGGAAAGCAGCCAUAUGGAGCCCCACAUGCCAGGUCGCUCAAGCUACUGAAGGAGAAGGUGGAUCGAGGCAACUCGCUGAACUCAAAGCUGUUCAGCUGGCCCUGGACAUUGCUGAGAGAGAGAAAUGGCCAAGGCUCUACUAUUACACUGUUUUGGGGAUGGUAGCUAAUGCUCUGUGGGGAUGGCUGGAGAGGUGGAAAAAGGCCAACUGGCAGCAUAGGGGAAAACCAAUUUGGGCUGCUGAUGAGUGGAAAGACAUUGCCACUCGGUUGGAGAAGCUCCCUGUGAAAGUCCGCCAUGUAGAUUCCUAUGUGCCCAAGAGUCGGGCUAAUGAGGAACACCGAAACAACAAACAGGUAGAUCAGGCAGCAAAAAUAGAGGUGUCAAAGAUAGACUUACAUUGGCAACAUAAGGGGGAGUUGUUCCUAGCUCAAUGGGCCCAUGAUGCCUCAGGUCAUCAAGGUAGAAAUGCCACCUAUAAGUGGGCACAAGACCGAGGGGUAGAUCUAACCAUGGACAGUAUUUCUCAGGUUAUCCAUGACUGUGAUUUGUGUGCUGAGAUCAAGCAGGCCAAGUGAGUGAAGCCCCCAGGAUAUGGUGGGUGGUGAUCCAAACACAAGUAUGGAGAGGCCUGGCAGAUUGACUAUAUCACACUGCCCCAGACACGCCAAGGCAAGCGCUACGUGCUGACCAUGGUAGGAGCCACCACUGGGUGGUUGGAGACCCACCCUGUGCCUCAUGCCACUGCCCGAAACACCAUCCUAGGCCUUGAAAAGCAAGUCCUGUGGAGACAUGGAACCCCUGAGAGAAUUGAGUCAGGCAAUGGGACCCAUUUCAACAAUGGCCUUAUCCACACCUGGGUGAGGGAACAUGAUAUUGAAUGGUAUAUCAUAUCCCCUACCAUGCACCAGCUGCCAGGAAAGUUGAACAGUGCAAUGGACUACUCAAGACUACCCUGAAGGCACUUGGCCGGGGGGACUUUUAGAAAUUGGGAAAUGAACUUAGCAAAGGCCACCUGGAUGGUCAGCAUCCGAGGGUCCAUCAAUUGAGCUGGUCCUGCCCAGUCUGAACCCCUGCACACAGUGGAUGUAGAUAAAGUCCCUGUUGUACACAUGAAAGGUAUUUUAGGAAAGACUGUUUGGAUUAGUCUCACCUCAGGCAAUGACGAACCCAUCCGUGGGAUUGUUUUUGCUCAAGGACCUGGUUACACUAGGUGGGUAAUGCAGAAAGAUGGAGAAACCUGUUGUGUACCACAGGGAAACCUAGUCUUAGUGAGAAUUGUGUGUAAGGUUUUGUUGUGCUGCAGAUGGAAAUAGAAUAAAGUGUGGAUAAUGUUCCAGA